This 497-nucleotide ribosomal RNA is filed under the name uncultured bacterium. RNAcentral's name for it is "partial 16S ribosomal RNA". It matches the Rfam family "Bacterial small subunit ribosomal RNA", at positions 28 to 507 of the family's 1533-position model. The record is from RNAcentral.
GAUGAACGCUGGCGGCGUGCCUAAUACAUGCAAGUCGAGCGAACAGACGAGGAGCUUGCUCCUCUGACGUUAGCGGCGGACGGGUGAGUAACACGUGGAUAACCUACCUAUAAGACUGGGAUAACUUCGGGAAACCGGAGCUAAUACUGGAUAAUAUAUUGAACCGCAUGGUUCAAUAGUGAAAGACGGUUUUGCUGUCACUUAUAGAUGGAUCCGCGCCGCAUUAGCUAGUUGGUAAGGUAACGGCUUACCAAGGCAACGAUGCGUAGCCGACCUGAGAGGGUGAUCGGCCACACUGGAACUGAGACACGGUCCAGACUCCUACGGGAGGCAGCAGUAGGGAAUCUUCCGCAAUGGGCGAAAGCCUGACGGAGCAACGCCGCGUGAGUGAUGAAGGUCUUCGGAUCGUAAAGCUCUGUUAUUAGGGAAGAACAAAUGUGUAAGUAACUAUGCACGUCUUGACGGUACCUAAUCAGAAAGCCACGGCUAACUACGUG